This 253-nucleotide ribosomal RNA is filed under the name uncultured bacterium. Its description in RNAcentral is "partial 16S ribosomal RNA". It matches the Rfam family "Bacterial small subunit ribosomal RNA", at positions 524 to 776 of the family's 1533-position model. The record is from RNAcentral.
UACAGAGGGGGCAAGCGUUAUUCGGAAUUAUUGGGCGUAAAGGGCGCGUAGGCGGCUUGGCAAGUGGAUGGUGAAAUCCCUCGGCUUAACCGAGGAACUGCCGUCCAAACUGCUUCGCUUGAGACCGGGAGAGGUGAGUGGAAUUCCCAGUGUAGCGGUGAAAUGCGUAGAUAUUGGGAGGAACACCAGUGGCGAAGGCGGCUCACUGGACCGGUACUUACGCUGAUGCGCGAAAGCGUGGGGAGCAAACGGG